UGGGGAAUCUUAGACAAUGGGCGCAAGCCUGAUCUAGCCAUGCCGCGUGAGCGAUGAAGGCCUUAGGGUUGUAAAGCUCUUUCAGUGGGGAAGAUAAUGACUGUACCCACAGAAGAAGCCCCGGCUAACUCCGUGCCAGCAGCCGCGGUAAUACGGAGGGGGCUAGCGUUGUUCGGAAUUACUGGGCGUAAAGCGCACGUAGGCGGACCGGAAAGUCAGAGGUGAAAUCCCAGGGCUCAACCUUGGAACUGCCUUUGAAACUCCUGGUCUUGAG
RNAcentral lists this ribosomal RNA (274 nucleotides) under uncultured prokaryote. RNAcentral's name for it is "partial 16S ribosomal RNA". It matches the Rfam family "Bacterial small subunit ribosomal RNA", at positions 355 to 646 of the family's 1533-position model. The record is from RNAcentral.